UUUACGGCAACAUUAAUCGCCGUAAUAGGUCGUAUUGAACUAGGCCCCGGUCUCCUUUAUUUUUCCCUCUCGCCCGAUAUCUCCCUCUCUUUUCCCCUCUCACUCACGAUGUCGGCAUCUUUCCUCCGUACGUUUCCCUCGCUCUGUUUCUCUCUCUGCUACAUCUUUCCUUUGUGCUCGGCGCCAUGGAGCCUCUAAAGUCUUGGUGUGAGUACACAACGCCGACGGGCUGGAGUGGUUCUGCUCCGCGACCUCUACGCCUCGUCGGUCCUGCUCCGCCACCACAACCACCAUGCUCUUCGUCCUCGUUGGGUCUCAUCUCUCCUGGAUGGCAAUCAUUCCUAUUGCUGUAAGUUCUCUUUUCUUCCUUGACUAGUUUGGCACUUUCAUUGGGGUGCUGGAGAUGACUUUUCAACACUUAACUGAUCAUCUCAUAUUGUCUUGGAAAUUUACUUCUA
This is a long non-coding RNA of Juglans microcarpa x Juglans regia, 458 nucleotides long. RefSeq lists it as uncharacterized. The transcript has 2 exons. Lineage: Eukaryota; Viridiplantae; Streptophyta; Magnoliopsida; Fagales; Juglandaceae. The record is from RefSeq and is a predicted model, not a curated record.